Solanum stenotomum is the source of this 347-nucleotide long non-coding RNA. RefSeq lists it as uncharacterized. The transcript has 4 exons. NCBI's taxonomy places the organism in Eukaryota, Viridiplantae, Streptophyta, Magnoliopsida, Solanales, Solanaceae. The record is from RefSeq and is a predicted model, not a curated record.
CUGAAAUUGUCUCCUAACAUAGAAGGAAAGGAAGCUUUAGCAUGUUCAUUCUUGCAAGAGAUUGGAGCUAAGCGAAAUCAAGUAUUCUUCUAAUUAAUUCUUGGUAUUCUAAGUCGACUGCAUGUGGCUUCUGUUGUUCAUCUCUCUCUAUUGCACGAGGUAAUGAAUGUUACAAGUUACUUUGGAGCAACCCUUGGAAGAGUCGCUAACGGGAUUGGUGGUGCUCAAUUUACUAUGAAUGGAACGCUUUAUAAGCUUCUUCCUAAUGAAAGCAAAAACAUAAUACAUGGUUGCCGUAAAGGAUUUAGCAAUUUUUCCUGGAAGGUGAGAAAGUAUGUGCAAGAUUG